GAGUUAAUUGUAAUAUUCAAGAGAAUGAGCUAAAUAAUAAUGAAUAUCCAAAAUAAGUAGCAAAGGCAACAAAAUAAGCAAAAUUUGCUGCAAAUUACCUUAAUAAAUAAUUAUGUUUAAACUGAAUAAGUAACAACUAACAACCUUGAUUCCUUGAAUCUUACAAUUCCAUUGAUUUUCCCAGAAAACAAUUUUAAGUAACUGCUUAGUCUCAAUCCCAACCAAAUUUAUAUUCCAACGGUGGCGUAAGCAUAGAUUGGUAUGCUUAUUCAACUUCGACUUUUCAAUCUUCCAACCAAUUCAAGAAAGCUACUUUGAGGAACAAUCACGGUUAUCCAACAAAAGGGGUUUCUAUUUCUCCAAACAAACAAGUUACGACAAUGUUCAUUUUACCAAUGGAUUGCAAAAUUGAUCGUUCAACAAGAAAAUGGAUCAUAUUCGAUCAGAUCAAACCUAAAACGUUAUCAAAACAAACUGAUUGGAUAACACAAAACCAAGUAUGAAGAUCUCUCCAGACAACAACGAAAUUACUAUACAUACUUUGGAAGAAUAUAUAUGAUUAAUUCAUAUAGUACAACCACAGAAGAUAAAGAAAUAAAAAAGCAUACAAACCAAAGCUAAGGAUUCAAACACUGUGACCAAAGUCCACAGAACGUUAUCCACGACAGAUAUAUCGAGCCACCGGAAGCUCGGGCUGCUCCACCGUGAUGUGAAGGAGGAGAA
RNAcentral lists this long non-coding RNA (723 nucleotides) under Olea europaea (common olive). RNAcentral describes it as "long non-coding RNA (OEUR_LNC011292)". The record is from RNAcentral. Lineage: Eukaryota; Viridiplantae; Streptophyta; Magnoliopsida; Lamiales; Oleaceae.